RNAcentral lists this ribosomal RNA (253 nucleotides) under uncultured bacterium. Its description in RNAcentral is "partial 16S ribosomal RNA". It matches the Rfam family "Bacterial small subunit ribosomal RNA", at positions 524 to 776 of the family's 1533-position model. The record is from RNAcentral.
UACGGAGGGGGCUAGCGUUGUUCGGAAUUACUGUGCGUAAAGCGCGCGUAGGCGGACCUGCAAGUCGGGGGUGAAAGCCCGAGGCUCAACCUCGGAACUGCCUUCGAUACUGCGGGUCUCGAGUCCGGGAGAGGUGAGUGGAAUUCCUAGUGUAGAGGUGAAAUUCGUAGAUAUUAGGAAGAACACCAGUGGCGAAGGCGGCUCACUGGCUCGGUUCUGACGCUGAGGCGCGAAAGCGUGGGGAGCAAACAGG